GGGUACUACAGUGGAUGUGAGUGUGUAGACCUUGUACAAUAGAGCUUAUAGGCUAAUGAGAAGACAGGAAGAAACAACAGGAACACAUAUAGCUGGAAUGCAGAUGGGAUCUGUGCUACUUACGCUAGCCAUGGGAUGAUUAGAACAAGAUAAGAGACAUGAGGAAGACUUCUUCAAGGAGGUGCUCAAGCCAUGUUUUGGAAAAGAGAACUCAAGGUCUGGCAGGGAGAAAGGAGCAAGACUGCCUGGCAGCUCUUUAGAAAGUUGUGUGACGUAUGAACCAGUUCUUCCCUAUAUGAGAGUGUACCGUACAUCGCAGGCUGUCCAGCAUCGACCCCACUGAUGGAUGCUAGUAGUCCUCCCCGCCAGCACUCAACAUUGUGACAGUCAAAAACAUCCUCUCUACAUUUUCAAUGCCCCUGUUGGGGUAGCAGGACUCCCACUGAGAGACCCCAGUAGAGAUGGUCCCCAAGCAUGCUAACCAUGAAGCAGUGAUAUCGCACAGCACCUGCUUCCAGCAGCCCGGAGCCAAGGGGCAAAAUGGAAAGAGUCAGCAUUUCUCUUUUAGGUUCUCUGCCUCUCUAGUGUGGCAAGUAGAGCUGCAGCUGUCUGGCGCCACUGUAAUGCUGUCUCCUCCUCUGAGUGAGUUCAUCCUGGAAACAUUUUCUCCCAUAAGACAUGCACAGGUCUUACGUUUACAUGUUUCACUGAAAGAAAUUUGAUUCCACUGCUGGGAUGACAAGGAAGACUGAAGAAACCUAAUCCUAGGUGCUGCCACUGGGACAAACAAGAAGCACCAGACACAGUGCUGUUUUAGGGUGGGGCAGAAUUAUGCUGAGGGAAAAGUUAUUAUCACUCUUUAAGGCCAAGGAAACCACAAUUUUUAAAGAAGCUUCUAGAAAUUCUACCCAGUAGAAAAUAAAGAUAAACUUCUGUAAGGAAUUUCAUUCUUUUCAGAAUUCGCAAUCUGAAAUGUAGAAGCCCAUUCCUUCAUGGUUCUCAUAGAUAUUUAGUGUGACUGAGGGGUCAGUGGACUCAUAGCACUCAGGCCAGGCUUCUCCUGAGUCCCUUUCUUUGGCACAGAGGGAGUGAUUCACAGAUCCUCUACCCCCAAAGGCAUUGUUUCCUCAUCUCAACAAGAAUCCAGCACCCGUCAUUUUAUCAGCACACGUCACUAGCUUCUCAAGUGAGACUACUCUGAAGUGAUCUGUGUUUGAAGAAUGCCUUUCCCUUUCCCUUACGUAACUAAGAGGAUGAAAAAGGACACUCACUCCCUAUAUGAAAGCUGUGUAUUGUAAGCAGUCAUCUUGCCUGGCUGAGAACUCUAGGAUCUUUUUCUCUGCUCUCCUUUAGGCUGACACUCAUAGCCAGACCUUCUGUUUAUUAGCCCCCUGAAUCUAUUUGAAAAUAUUUUUGCUUUCAUUAUAAUAUAAGUCACAUUCUUCUUGCAUCUGCCGCUGCAUUUUCCAAAAGGGUUAUGUCAAGGGAAAUUCAACACUCACUUUUCUCAUUAUUUGCUUACCAGCUUGCUCACUCAUCAAAAUACCAGAGUUAUUUGAUACUUCAGAAGAUUAUUUCCCCCUUUAGAUGAUGUGUCAAGGGAAGGGGAGCUGGCCCCAGUAUCAGGUGACAGAAUUUUCUUCGCAUUUCUACUGUUGACUCAAUAAAUGCCCUUGGGCAAGUCAUGGAGCCUCUUCAUACUUUGGUCUCUAGGGAUAAAAUCUGCCAACCGCAGCAUGUGUAUUUGAACCUCAGUGUCCUCUGGAAUAAAAAUAGGAGGGGACCAGGUGUCCAUGUGACCCCAAGCUGAUGGGAAGAGGAUGACCAUAGGACUUCAAAAUGUCCUUGAGCUGUAAAUUCUGUAAUAGGGUCAGGCCCACCAGUGGCCUUCAGGCAUUUGUCCAGUGGUGUAUGGAUAAGUUCUAGCACUUGAGUUUUUUCAGCACAAAGGAGGCACUAUGUCAACCUCCCACCCAUGGGUAUUCUGUUUGCUCUGUGUCCCCGCUUCUCUGCAUUUCCCUGCCAUAUUACUCACCACUGGUCGUAAUUACUUGCUUGAUCACUUGUCUCCUGGUCUGUAAGCUGUUUGAGGGAGGGGAGCACAUCUGCCCUAUGCAACACUGUACCCUCAGUGUGGUACACAGGAGCACAUGCCUGACAUAUGGAAGUUAUGUGAGAAACAUUUGUGAAGUGGACAAAUUAAUAAUGCUGCCUGGACUCUAUAGAAAUCCCUUUUCUGCAUCAUUAAGGUUCCCAAGCCUGGCCAAGAAGUAGUGGGAUCUGAUUAGCCUCAUCUCCUCAUAACCCUACUUCCUAUAAUAUUAUAAUGAAAGCAGAUCUCAGCCCAAAUGCUGGCACACAUACAUAUUUAUCAGUAAGAAGAUCCAAAAUCGUUCAUGCAGCUGGUUCUGUAAGCUUGGCAAAUUUCCAGCCCUCUGAACUUUUCAGUGCUUUGUCCACACUCUACAUGAAAGGGCCUCUUAAGAGUGACAGGGCAGUAUUCUAAAGACCAGAUUUUAAUUGCACCAGGUAACUGAAUUGUCUGAAUUCACAGCUGAACACAGGACAAGGUCAGAAUCAUAUUUCUUAUGCCAUUUAGAAAGGUGACAAGUGAAGGGCUGGCCAAAAUCUUACACCCAGCUUACGUAAGAGUAGAGACUGUCCCUAAUGCUUUCCCCAGUCCACUUGUCUCGAACACCAUUAGGUUCAAUAGUAAAAGCCCAUUUCUCACUUGCUUCAUGUUAAUUGACUGAUCACUAAUUUUACCAAUAAGAAGCCAUUUUUAUUA
This 2788-nucleotide long non-coding RNA is filed under the name Homo sapiens (human). RNAcentral describes it as "non-protein coding LINC02532:40". The record is from RNAcentral. Lineage: Eukaryota; Metazoa; Chordata; Mammalia; Primates; Hominidae.